This 253-nucleotide ribosomal RNA is filed under the name uncultured bacterium. RNAcentral's name for it is "partial 16S ribosomal RNA". It matches the Rfam family "Bacterial small subunit ribosomal RNA", at positions 524 to 776 of the family's 1533-position model. The record is from RNAcentral.
UACGAAGGGUGCAAGCGUUACUCGGAAUUACUGGGCGUAAAGGGUGCGUGGGUGGUUCUUUAAGUCUGCUGUGAAAUCCCCGGGCUCAACCUGGGAAUGGCAGUGGAUACUGGAGAGCUAGAGUGCGGUAGAGGGUAGUGGAAUUCCCGGUGUAGCAGUGAAAUGCGUAGAGAUCGGGAGGAACACCAGUGGCGAAGGCGGCUACCUGGACCAGCACUGACACUGAAGCACGAAAGCGUGGGGAGCAAACAGG